GAUGAACGCUGGCGGCGUGCCUAAUACAUGCAAGUCGAGCGAACGGACGAGAAGCUUGCUUCUCUGAUGUUAGCGGCGGACGGGUGAGUAACACGUGGAUAACCUACCUAUAAGACUGGGAUAACUUCGGGAAACCGGAGCUAAUACCGGAUAAUAUUUUGAACCGCAUGGUUCAAAAGUGAAAGACGGUCUUGCUGUCACUUAUAGAUGGAUCCGCGCUGCAUUAGCUAGUUGGUAAGGUAACGGCUUACCAAGGCAACGAUGCAUAGCCGACCUGAGAGGGUGAUCGGCCACACUGGAACUGAGACACGGUCCAGACUCCUACGGGAGGCAGCAGUAGGGAAUCUUCCGCAAUGGGCGAAAGCCUGACGGAGCAACGCCGCGUGAGUGAUGAAGGUCUUCGGAUCGUAAAACUCUGUUAUUAGGGAAGAACAUAUGUGUAAGUAACUGUGCACAUCUUGACGGUACCUAAUCAGAAAGCCACGGCUAACUACGUGCCAGCAGCCGCGGUAAUACGUAGGUGGCAAGCGUUAUCCGGAAUUAUUGGGCGUAAAGCGCGCGUAGGCGGUUUUUUAAGUCUGAUGUGAAAGCCCACGGCUCAACCGUGGAGGGUCAUUGGAAACUGGAAAACUUGAGUGCAGAAGAGGAAAGUGGAAUUCCAUGUGUAGCGGUGAAAUGCGCAGAGAUAUGGAGGAACACCAGUGGCGAAGGCGACUUUCUGGUCUGUAACUGACGCUGAUGUGCGAAAGCGUGGGGAUCAAACAGGAUUAGAUACCCUGGUAGUCCACGCCGUAAACGAUGAGUGCUAAGUGUUAGGGGGUUUCCGCCCCUUAGUGCUGCAGCUAACGCAUUAAGCACUCCGCCUGGGGAGUACGACCGCAAGGUUGAAACUCAAAGGAAUUGACGGGGACCCGCACAAGCGGUGGAGCAUGUGGUUUAAUUCGAAGCAACGCGAAGAACCUUACCAAAUCUUGACAUCCUUUGACAACUCUAGAGAUAGAGCUUUCCCCUUCGGGGGACAAAGUGACAGGUGGUGCAUGGUUGUCGUCAGCUCGUGUCGUGAGAUGUUGGGCUAAGUCCCGCAACGAGCGCAACCCUUAAGCUUAGUUGCCAUCAUUAAGUUGGGCACUCUAAGUUGACUGCCGGUGACAAACCGGAGGAAGGUGGGGAUGACGUCAAAUCAUCAUGCCCCUUAUGAUUUGGGCUACACACGUGCUACAAUGGACAAUACAAAGGGCAGCGAAACCGCGAGGUCAAGCAAAUCCCAUAAAGUUGUUCUCAGUUCGGAUUGUAGUCUGCAACUCGACUACAUGAAGCUGGAAUCGCUAGUAAUCGUAGAUCAGCAUGCUACGGUGAAUACGUUCCCGGGUCU
RNAcentral lists this ribosomal RNA (1372 nucleotides) under uncultured bacterium. RNAcentral's name for it is "bacterial SSU rRNA". It matches the Rfam family "Bacterial small subunit ribosomal RNA", at positions 28 to 1381 of the family's 1533-position model. The record is from RNAcentral.